Molecule: ribosomal RNA, 484 nt
Filed under: uncultured bacterium
Lineage: Bacteria
Description: partial 16S ribosomal RNA
Rfam family: Bacterial small subunit ribosomal RNA
Source: RNAcentral
AUUGAACGCUGGCGGCAGGCCUAACACAUGCAAGUCGAGCGGAUGAAGGGAGCUUGCUCCUGGAUUCAGCGGCGGACGGGUGAGUAAUGCCUAGGAAUCUGCCUGGUAGUGGGGGAUAACGUCCGGAAACGGGCGCUAAUACCGCAUACGUCCUGAGGGAGAAAGUGGGGGAUCUUCGGACCUCACGCUAUCAGAUGAGCCUAUGUCGGAUUAGCUAGUUGGUGGGGUAAAGGCCUACCAAGGCGACGAUCCGUAACUGGUCUGAGAGGAUGAUCAGUCACACUGGAACUGAGACACGGUCCAGACUCCUACGGGAGGCAGCAGUGGGGAAUAUUGGACAAUGGGCGAAAGCCUGAUCCAGCCAUGCCGCGUGUGUGAAGAAGGUCUUCGGAUUGUAAAGCACUUUAAGUUGGGAGGAAGGGCAGUAAGUUAAUACCUUGCUGUUUUGACGGUACCAACAGAAUAAGCACCGGCUAACUUCGUG